RNAcentral lists this transfer RNA (75 nucleotides) under Marivirga lumbricoides. RNAcentral's name for it is "tRNA-Met". It matches the Rfam family "tRNA". From Rfam's summary of the family: Transfer RNA (tRNA) molecules are approximately 80 nucleotides in length. Their secondary structure includes four short double-helical elements and three loops (D, anti-codon, and T loops). The record is from RNAcentral. Lineage: Bacteria; Pseudomonadati; Bacteroidota; Cytophagia; Cytophagales; Marivirgaceae.
GGCGAGGUAGCUCAGUUGGUUAGAGCGCAGGAUUCAUAACCCUGAGGUCGGCAGUUCAAAUCUGCUUCUCGCUAC